GAGGUGUUCAUCCUGUAAAUUACCCGUUCAACAGGUAGCCAAUCGAGCGCAAGUGCUGAGCAAUUGGUGGUGCGAAGCCUCGGGCGGCGAACAUGCGAGCCGUAGCGCAAGCGAACCCAUUUCGGCCUCGUUACGCUAAUUGGGAGUGGCCAGUCUGCCAAAGAAGCUGAAGCCUGCCACCGACGAAGAAGCAACGGGCGAGUGCAUUCGUCGGACUUCCCGGGGUGGUAGGGGG
Non-coding RNA from Betaproteobacteria bacterium, 235 nucleotides. The record is from Rfam. NCBI's taxonomy places the organism in Bacteria, Pseudomonadati, Pseudomonadota, Betaproteobacteria.